CCUACGGGGGGCAGCAGUAGGGAAUCUUCCGCAAUGGACGAAAGUCUGACGGAGCAACGCCGCGUGAGCGAAGAAGGUCUUCGGGUCGUAAAGCUCUGUUGUUAGGGAAGAACAAGUACGGGAGGAUAUGACCGUACCUUGACGGUACCUAACGAGGAAGCACCGGCUAACUACGUGCCAGCAGCCGCGGUAAUACGUAGGUUGCAAGCGUUGUACGGAAUUAUUGGGCGUAAAGCGCGCGCAGGCGGUUUUUUAAGUCUGAUGUGAAAUCUUGCGGCUUAACCGCAAGCGGUCAUUGGAAACUGCGAGACUAGAGAGUAGAAGAGGAAAGCGGAAUUCCACGUGUAGCGGUGAAAUGCGUAGAGAUGAGGAGGAACACCAGUGGCGAAGGCGGCUCUCUGGUCUGUAACUGACGCUGAGGCGCGAAAGCGUGGGGAGCAAACAGGAUUAGAUACCCUAGUAGUC
RNAcentral lists this ribosomal RNA (465 nucleotides) under uncultured bacterium. RNAcentral's name for it is "bacterial SSU rRNA". It matches the Rfam family "Bacterial small subunit ribosomal RNA", at positions 338 to 795 of the family's 1533-position model. The record is from RNAcentral.